GGCUUUGUUCUAAAAACUUCUUUCAUCAUCUAAGAAAACUCCAGAGCUUUACACUCUUCCUUUACCUCUCUGCAUUCUCUUAUUCUUUCUAAUCACUGAUCCAGUAAACUUCAAAUAUUAGGCAGUGCCAGUGAUCACAACGCGCAGAGGACUCCUCCUUCGACCGAUCAUUUUCCCCAAUCUGAACGGUAAGUAGUUUUCUCCUUUCUCCCGCAAACCCUUGAGCUUUGGGCAUGCAAUUGAGUUGCUGCAUGUCCCUUGUGACUUUCAUUUUAAAUUCUUAGCUGAAAUUUAGGUUCUAAGAAGUGUCUUUUAUCUUCAAUGGAUGAACUAUAGGUGUAUCUAAGAUUUCUUGCGGUGAAGAGGCUGGUUGGAGCAUCCUGUGAAUUUAACUGUUUGCACCAGAGGUAAGGGAAGUUGGAUAUUUCUUUUCUGUUUUGUGAAUUAGGAGAUGCAUGAGAUGGAGUAUUAUUUGAAGUGAUGAAAUAACACAUGUAUGCAUUGACUGGUAUAUUGGUACUGUUUGUAUUGGAAAUGAGAAACUGUGUAUGUGAACUGAAAUGCUCUAUACCUUUAAAUUAUGGAAGCUGUUGAAUGAUGCUUAUGAACUGUUAGGGAUAAGAUUUGAUGCUGAUACUGAAUGGUUAUGUCGGAUGCUGUUUUGUGAGAUUUGGUCGCCUUGCGUGUGAAUUCUAAUUUCAAAUUUCUGUUUAAUUAUGCAGCUGUGGAAUUAUAUGUUCAUGAAUUGAUGUGUAUUGAGAUUUAAUGUUGAUGUUGAGUGAUUGAAUCGGGGAAAAUGGUAGUUAAUAGAUUAUUGAAUCAUCUGUUAGGAGAAAUGAGGAGAUUAAGUCAUAUUAAAAGAACUGAAGUGGUCAAAUUGAGAAAUUGGUGUUUCAGGUUCUUAGGGUUAGUUUAGGGAACUUAGAUAAGCCAAAUAGGACUGGAUAGAAGUGUCUAAAUGGUCAAAAAUAGUAUCGAAGUAAUAAAUCCAAAGUUGAGUCCUUGAGUUGAUGGAAGUUGAGUUUUAUAAUACAAUUUGAUGCACAAUUACUAGAUAAUUAGGUUAGGAAGUGUUCAAACCAAUUAAGCAAGUUAAAUUCAUCAUAUAGAUCAAGUUGGAAGUGUUAGAAACUCAUCAAAGUGUCUCAGAUACACUAAAAUGAGGUUGUUGUCAAAAACUGAUAAGAAUAAUCGAUUAUCUCACUUGAUAAUCGAUUAUUCUAGUCAGAACAUCAUAUUUUCUUCAAAGUUCACUUAAAUAAUCGAUUAUCAUAUGUAAUAAUCGAUUAUUGUUGUCAGGAAAUCAUCCAGGAUAGUUUUGAGUGGUUUUUGGGGUUCCGGGUAUCAUUUUUAGACAUUCCUUAGGUCGUUCUGGGGGUUUUUGACCCUUCCGGAACUGUUGGUGAUGGUUUCAAAUCCAUUUUCUUUGUCUAAGUAUGAGUUCACUAGGUUUUGUAUUGUUUAAUUGUCCUUUUAGAACUAUUAUUGUCUGGUAGUGUACAUGGAAUGGUUUCAUACAAUUUUUGAGGACUUGUUGGGUGGUUGUGGUAUUUUGAAGUGUAAUUAAUAUUAUAAAUAUAUUUUGUAUGCAAUGUAAAAUUGAAAAGUAUGGUUAUUGGACGUAAUUCUAUGAUCCUCAAAGGAGGUUACAUGGUGGUGCCCUGUAGUUGUUGUGAUUGACUGUAUGAAUGGCCGAAGUUCAGGAUGGGGUUUAUCCUGACAUUCUAAUGACCAUCCAUGCUCAAUUAGAGAGUGAUGAGUCAUGUGGUGAGAAUAGCAAGAGGUCAUAGUAAUAGGUGCUACGUGGAGGCCUAUUAUUCGGUAAAGGGCUUACACUUGUGUGUGGUCGGGUGAAAUCCCUCGGCAAUGGCUUUGCAAAGCAGUAGGGCCACAACAAGUGCACAAACCCCUGGAACUCGACAUUUCAUACUAGUCCGGAUGGUCAAAUCACGUGGUCGGUCAUUGGUAUCAAUAAAAUGCAUUUGGUCAUAGUUUGUAUUGUUUAUGGUCCUUGCAUGUUUGAAAUACUUGAUUAAUAACAUGUUUUUUUAUACCUAGCUUAUCCUUGCAUUUGUUUGUUGUAUGUGCUUGUCUUCCCCCUUGCGAUAAUCAUCCAUCCUUUGGACGAUGAUUUGGAGCGAGCAUUGGAGGAUCAUGAAAACUUAGCCCCUAGCUCUUAGGACCUUUCAGACACGUCUGUAUUCUUAAAUACUCUUAAACUUGUAAAAAUUUGAAAUUUUGCCUAUAUUUGGAUGACUGUAUAUUUGAUACUGUCAUAUGUUAAUUCCUAACUGCUCUCUUUCAUAUUAUAUGUGCUGAAUUCCAUAUAUAUACUUUGCUAUAUAUUUUGGGAUGUCACAAUUAACAACAUUUAUGUUUAAUAAUAAAUCAUAAUAAUCUUAAACCAAAAGUAAUUAAUAUUAUAUAAAAUAAAUCUGAACAUUAAAAAUAUAAAUAGUUUGUGAAACUUAAUAUUUCUUCACAGUUCUGAAUAACAAGCUUUAAAACAUGCUACAAUUUCAUUUCAUUUCUACAUUUCAUUUCAUGUCUCAGCUGCAACUAUUUCAUCGUUGGUUUUCACUUGUAUCACACUCUUCUCAUGGUCACCUUUAAGGUAGCUUAAAUUUCCCUUCUCCUUGAUCAGUUGCAUGUGGUGGUGCUUGCAGUAGAGUUUCCCAUCGUGUGCAAUGUAAUUGGAGGGACUAAUAACACACCCGAGCGCCAUUUGAAACAACUCUUGUGAUAAGGAGUUCCAAUCACUGUCACCUACACCAUUUUAAAAUAUAUCUAAACUUAGUUAUUUUUGUAACGGGAGGAUUCUUGUUUCAAUAAGCACUUAGUUAUUAUUGUAAAAUUAUUUUUUCUUGUGGAAACUAGUUCAAGAUGCAUAUGGGUAUGUAUGUUAUAUAGAUUAUAUGAAAGAGUUAAUAUACUCACUAUUUAGGUGAAUUUAUAAUAUCCUUUUAAUAUUUAUUUAUGGUAGGUAUUUGAAUUUUAAAAAUGCACAACUAAAUUUUAUAAUUGUUUUUUCUUCUAAAUCCGUGGUUCAUUAUGUCAUGAUCCCAAGUGGCCAUGUUUUGGGUGAUACUUUCCCUAAUAAGUUUGAAUCGCGGUUUUACAAAAUCAAGCUAUUUAACGAGGAAGAAAUAAGAAAGGGGAAUUGUAAUUAAUUAACUGUUGCUUUAUAGAAUAUUUAAUUGCAUUUUUUACUGUACAAAACAGGUUCAUUAAUGCAAUUAAAUAUAUAUAAUUACUAAAUUCUUUUUAUUUUUUGCAUGCUCAC
RNAcentral lists this long non-coding RNA (3283 nucleotides) under Vigna radiata. Its description in RNAcentral is "long non-coding RNA (VRAD_LNC000050)". Lineage: Eukaryota; Viridiplantae; Streptophyta; Magnoliopsida; Fabales; Fabaceae. The record is from RNAcentral.